Molecule: transfer RNA, 73 nt
Filed under: Bos taurus (domestic cattle)
Lineage: Eukaryota; Metazoa; Chordata; Mammalia; Artiodactyla; Bovidae
Also listed under: 3 other names
Rfam family: tRNA
About the family: Transfer RNA (tRNA) molecules are approximately 80 nucleotides in length. Their secondary structure includes four short double-helical elements and three loops (D, anti-codon, and T loops).
Source: Rfam by way of RNAcentral
UCCCUGGAGGUCCAGUGGUUAAGACCCUGCACUGCCAAUGCCGGGGGCAUAGGUUCGAUCCCUGGUCAGGGAA